GGCGGUCAUGCCAUCUGUAUAGUUAACAACUUCAAGAAACUUGGAAGGUACAAUUUUCUCCACCUCCUGCAUUUCAGUGAAUUGAAGAAACUUAAAUAUCUUUCUUUAAUUUAUUUUCUUCAAAGGCACUCAAAUCUAAUCCCAAGUAAUUAAUAUUUUUGUACUCUUACAAAUCCUUGAUGUAUGCCCUUUGACCUUGAAUAUAUAUGCUAGGAAUCGAGAUGGAGACUGUUAGGAAUCGAGCCCCAGAUUAAAAACUCCGUCAAGUUACAGUUAAUAGAUUGCACGUGAGCUCCAAGUGCAAGGUUAAAUUCAUCAUUUCAGCUCUAUUAACCCGGUAAGCGUUCAAAUCAGCCUAUAAAGCGUCCCUCCCCUAGUCUGAAAGACUAAAACCAUGAAAUCGCUAUCUACGUGUGGGUGCUGGAGUUUUUGCUGAAAAAUGGGGUUGGAGACUGAGAGGCUCUCGAAUUGAAAUCGUCGACUCAAAUCUAAAAGCUCUGAAGUUCCAACACCAAUUACAGAAAACGAUAGGCCUUCCUUCCCAUUUUAGCUCACCGAUUCCUG
RNAcentral lists this long non-coding RNA (564 nucleotides) under Malus domestica (apple). Its description in RNAcentral is "long non-coding RNA (MDOM_LNC017236)". The record is from RNAcentral. Lineage: Eukaryota; Viridiplantae; Streptophyta; Magnoliopsida; Rosales; Rosaceae.